AGCUCCCCCCACCCCCCAAGCAAGUAUGGGCCAGGGCUGAACCCCCAUUUCCCCCCCCCCAGGCAUGGAGCCCAGAGUGGGAGGAACCGAGCCCCAAAGCGCCACCACCGGGGCAGGAGGAGGAGAAGGUGCCGCUGAAGAGCAUCCGCUUGGCCCCGAGCAGUGCGGCCGAGGCGCCGGCGCCGGUUCUGGGCCAGCGGGUUCGGGCCAUUUACGACUACACUGGGCAGGAGCCGGACGAGCUGAGCUUCACCGCGGGGGAGGAGCUGACGAAGCUGGAGGAGCAGGACCCCCAGGGCUGGUGCAAGGGGGUGACGGACGGGGGGCGCGUGGGGCUGUA
Molecule: long non-coding RNA, 340 nt
Filed under: Chrysemys picta bellii (western painted turtle)
Lineage: Eukaryota; Metazoa; Chordata; Testudines; Emydidae
Description: lncRNA (ENSCPBG00000023799.1)
Source: RNAcentral